UACGGGGGGGGCAAGCGUUGUCCGGAAUUACUGGGCGUAAAGGGCUUGUAGGUGGCCAACUAAGUCAGACGUGAAAUCCCUCAGCUUAACUGGGGAACUGCGUCUGAUACUGGAAAGCUUGAGUGCAGGAGAGGAACGCGGAAUUCCAGGUGUAGCGGUGAAAUGCGUAGAUAUCUGGAGGAACACCGGUGGCGAAGGCGGCGUUCUGGACUGCAACUGACACUGAGAGACGAAAGCCAGGGGAGCAAACGGG
Molecule: ribosomal RNA, 253 nt
Filed under: uncultured bacterium
Lineage: Bacteria
Description: partial 16S ribosomal RNA
Rfam family: Bacterial small subunit ribosomal RNA
Source: RNAcentral